RNAcentral lists this small nuclear RNA (36 nucleotides) under Cervus elaphus hippelaphus. The record is from RNAcentral. Lineage: Eukaryota; Metazoa; Chordata; Mammalia; Artiodactyla; Cervidae.
AUCACCUCUCGGCCUUUUAGGUAAGAUCAAGUGAAG